This 253-nucleotide ribosomal RNA is filed under the name uncultured bacterium. RNAcentral's name for it is "partial 16S ribosomal RNA". It matches the Rfam family "Bacterial small subunit ribosomal RNA", at positions 524 to 776 of the family's 1533-position model. The record is from RNAcentral.
UACAGAGGGUGCGAGCGUUAAUCGGACUUACUGGGCGUAAAGGGCGCGUAGGUGGUUUAAUCAGUCAGAUGUGAAAUCCCAGGGCUCAACCUUGGAAUUGCAUUUGAUACUGUUAGACUAGAGUGCAGAAGAGGGAAGGGGAAUUUCCGGUGUAGCGGUGAAAUGCGUAGAUAUCGGAAGGAACACCAGUGGCGAAGGCGCCUUCCUGGUCUGACACUGACACUGAGGCGCGAAAGCGUGGGUAGCAAACAGG